AACCACCAUUAGCAAGAGGAAUCCAGCACAUCACUGCUUAGGAGGGGCAGGGCUGUGAGUCUGCAGGGUGGAGGGCAAGGGAAUGGAAAGGACUGGAGAGGACAUUGAUUUUCUUAGAGGAAAAAGUGAGCAAGAAUGACCUCAAUGGAAAAAUAUUCUCUCUCUCUCUCCCUUUCUGUCUCAUGGACAAAUAUAGCCCUACACGUUAUGCAAAGGCAGCGUUCAAGCAUGCUUGGAAUGAGCAACUUGGGAGGCAAAUUGCUACCACUUGUCCCCACUCUUGUUUUUUGGCUUUUAUUUCUUUUUCUUGCUUUGUCUUCUCCCCUCCAGCGUGGUCCAGCCUUUACAGCUGCCACAAAGCCACCUCAGAGGGAGCCCCUGACUCAGGAGGACAGAGGGGUGUCCAGGGGACAGCUGCCAGCUGUGACAACCACCACUGGUGUUCCCAAAACGACCUGAGAGGAAAAAUGGAUUGAACCAGGGCUGUGUGGGUUAAAGAAGGGAGAAACGGUUGGGCUGAAUAACAGAAAAGUCUUUCCAACAGUAAGGAAUGCCCGGAGAUCUUGCCAGCACCCAUCCCAGGCCAUCCUUAGGGACCAGUUCAGCAGUACCUGUCCAGGAGGGCACAGGCAGCCAUUCCCCCUGACAGACUCCCUGCUCAGCAGCAGCCCAGACCAUUUCCUUACUACCCUAUUUCUGCAUAAUUCCCUUCUCUUUCACUACAAACAUUACAGAACAUUUCUGCUGGGAGUCAAAGGGCUGCCAAGUGCCUGUAGCUGUUUCCAUCAUCUCCCAGCCCCAGCUGUGUUUUACCUGGAGGCUGCAGCUCCCAUGGACCUGCUGUGUUCCAGUGGCUUCUCUGCUGCUUGUCCUUGGUUUGCUCCUCGAUGGAAGCCAGCUCCAAGGGGCUGGAGGGACCCUGUGACCCCCUCUGCCCCACAGCCAGUGCCAGCCCCAGCUCACACCAACAUUCCAUUGGGACAGCAGCACAGGAAACACCCUGGGCCACCUCUGGACACGGCUCCCAUCCUUUGGUUAUCCCUGCUUGUGUUUCACUUGUGGGGCUGGAAAUCUCAGCUUCCUGGUGAAACACAGGAUUGCUCAGGAAAAAUCCAAAUGCUGACAGCACAAGAAGAUACAAGCACGAGUCUAUAAGCAGGAGGCCCUUAUCUCCAUCCUUCUCUCAGCAAGGGCGAGUGGCUGACUGAGGUGGUCCUGGCUUCCCCCAGGACUGCUCUCUCCCUCUCUGCUACCCUGGUAAUGCAGAUUCUGGCCCAUUAAAGGCUUGCUGUCCCUUCUCUCUUCCA
Molecule: non-coding RNA, 1307 nt
Organism: Sturnus vulgaris (Common starling)
Lineage: Eukaryota; Metazoa; Chordata; Aves; Passeriformes; Sturnidae
Source: RefSeq, a predicted model, not a curated record